UACGUAGGGGGCAAGCGUUGUCCGGAUUUAUUGGGCGUAAAGAGCGUGUAGGCGGCCAAGCAGGUCCGCUGUGAAAACUCGAGGCUCAACCUCGAGACGUCGGUUGAAACCGUAUGGCUAGAGUCCGGAAGAGGAGAGUGGAAUUCCCGGUGUAGCGGUGAAAUGCGCAGAUAUCGGGAAGAACACCCGUGGCGAAGGCGGCUCUCUGGGACGGUACUGGACGCGUGAGACGCGAAAGCGUGGGGAGCGAACAGG
Molecule: ribosomal RNA, 255 nt
Filed under: uncultured bacterium
Lineage: Bacteria
Description: partial 16S ribosomal RNA
Rfam family: Bacterial small subunit ribosomal RNA
Source: RNAcentral